This is a non-coding RNA of Mycena latifolia, 95 nucleotides long. Lineage: Eukaryota; Fungi; Basidiomycota; Agaricomycetes; Agaricales; Mycenaceae. The record is from the annotation of a GenBank genome assembly.
GCGGGCGUGGUGCAUGGAGCACAGCUGUCUUUCAUUCGCGUCUCUAGAAAAAUUACUGUAAGCAGCGAACCCGGGUUCGACUCCCGGCACCCGCA